Molecule: long non-coding RNA, 546 nt
Organism: Dermochelys coriacea (leatherback sea turtle)
Lineage: Eukaryota; Metazoa; Chordata; Testudines; Dermochelyidae
Exons: 3
Source: RefSeq, a predicted model, not a curated record
CUGAGUAACUAGAAGCCUCCCAAAUGUAUUUUUUUUUUAAACAUUGUAGAUAAAAACUUGUAUUGUGAAAGACUAAAAGACUAAAAGCUUCCAGGUUAGAUAUAGUAUGUCACAUUUAACAAAAAACAUUUAAAAAGAAAACACCAAGCCUUCAAGUCUGACAGAAAGAUUGAUAGAACCCAUUUAAGGCAGUGAAUUAAACCCAAGUCAUGAUGUACACUUACUGGACUAGGCUUUUUAUCCACAACAAUCCCAGCAAGUAAUUGAGACUGUGGUCCUGCUGUCUUUAAGUCAUAUCGGUUUUGCUCACGAAUCUAUACGGAAAAAGACAAAACAUUAUUUGAAGCAUCUAUUGUCCCUAUAUAGCAAACCCCUCUCUCACCAUCAACUUUGUAUGGCCGAUGUACUGGGCAAUGGAGCAGAACUGGAGCACUGGACUUCAUAUUGCUUUACUCUGGGAUAAGGUGCCCCCUGCCUCUGACUGCACAGUACCUGCUGAUCCUAUGACUCCACUUCAACAUCACUAAAGAUUUACACUGGUCCCAA